AGAGUUUGAUCCUGGCUCAGAUUGAACGCUGGCGGCGUGCUUAACACAUGCAAGUCGUGCGAGAAAGGGGACUUCGGUCCCUGAGUAGAGCGGCGCACGGGUGAGUAACGCGUGGAUAAUCUACCCAGAUGUUCGGGAUAACGGUGGGAAACUGCCGCUAAUACCGGAUACGAUCCAAUUUCGGUUGGAUGAAAGGCGGCCUCUGCUUGCAAGCUGUCGCAUCUGGAUGAGUCCGCGUCCCAUUAGCUUGUUGGUGGGGUAAUGGCCUACCAAGGCUACGAUGGGUAACUGGUCUGAGAGGAUGAUCAGUCACACUGGAACUGAAACACGGUCCAGACUCCUACGGGAGGCAGCAGUGGGGAAUAUUGCGCAAUGGGGGAAACCCUGACGCAGCGACGCCGUGUGAGGGGAGAAGGCUUUCGGGUCGUAAACCUCUGUCGGGAGGGAAGAACCUUCCAGGCC
Molecule: ribosomal RNA, 462 nt
Filed under: uncultured bacterium
Lineage: Bacteria
Description: bacterial SSU rRNA
Rfam family: Bacterial small subunit ribosomal RNA
Source: RNAcentral